UACAGAGGUGGCAAGCGUUGUUCGGAAUUACUGGGCGUAAAGGGCGCGUAGGCGGCUUGGUCAGUCCCGUGUGAAAUCCCUCGGCUCAACUGAGGAACUGCACGGGAAACUGCCUGGCUUGAGUUCGGGAGAGGGAAGCGGAAUUCCGGGUGUAGCGGUGAAAUGCGUAGAUAUCCGGAGGAACACCGGUGGCGAAGGCGGCUUCCUGGACCGACACUGACACUGAGGCACGAAAGCGUGGGGAGCAAACAGG
RNAcentral lists this ribosomal RNA (253 nucleotides) under uncultured bacterium. RNAcentral's name for it is "partial 16S ribosomal RNA". It matches the Rfam family "Bacterial small subunit ribosomal RNA", at positions 524 to 776 of the family's 1533-position model. The record is from RNAcentral.